RNAcentral lists this ribosomal RNA (254 nucleotides) under uncultured bacterium. RNAcentral describes it as "partial 16S ribosomal RNA". It matches the Rfam family "Bacterial small subunit ribosomal RNA", at positions 524 to 776 of the family's 1533-position model. The record is from RNAcentral.
UACGUAGGGUGCAAGCGUUUGUCCGGAAUUAUUGGGCGUAAAGAGCUCGUAGGCGGUUUGUCGCGUCUGCUGUGAAAAUCCAGGGCUUAACCCUGGACCUGCAGUGGGUACGGGCAGACUAGAGUGCGGUAGGGGAGAUCGGAAUUCCUGGUGUAGCGGUGAAAUGCGCAGAUAUCAGGAGGAACACCGGUGGCGAAGGCGGAUCUCUGGGCCGUAACUGACGCUGAGGAGCGAAAGCAUGGGGAGCGAACAGG